RNAcentral lists this ribosomal RNA (254 nucleotides) under uncultured bacterium. RNAcentral describes it as "partial 16S ribosomal RNA". It matches the Rfam family "Bacterial small subunit ribosomal RNA", at positions 524 to 776 of the family's 1533-position model. The record is from RNAcentral.
UACGUAGGGGGCGAGCGUUGUCCGGAUUUAUUGGGCGUAAAGGGGUCGUAGGCGGCUUAGCAAGUCGGGUGUGAAAACUCCAGGCUCAACCUGGAGACGCCACUCGAGACUGCUAUGGCUAGAGUCCGGUAGGGGACCACGGAAUUCCUGGUGUAGCGGUGAAAUGCGCAGAUAUCAGGAGGAACACCGGUGGCGAAGGCGGUGGUCUGGGCCGGCACUGACGCUGAGGAGCGAAAGCGUGGGGAGCAAACAGG